RNAcentral lists this ribosomal RNA (498 nucleotides) under uncultured Streptococcus sp. RNAcentral's name for it is "bacterial SSU rRNA". It matches the Rfam family "Bacterial small subunit ribosomal RNA", at positions 28 to 508 of the family's 1533-position model. Lineage: Bacteria; Bacillati; Bacillota; Bacilli; Lactobacillales; Streptococcaceae. The record is from RNAcentral.
GAUGAACGCUGGCGGCGUGCCUAAUACAUGCAAGUAGAACGCUGAAGCUUGGUGCUUGCACCGAGCGGAGGAGUUGCGAACGGGUGAGUAACGCGUAGGUAACCUGCCUCUUAGCGGGGGAUAACUAUUGGAAACGAUAGCUAAUACCGCAUAAAAGUCGACAUUGCAUGAUGUUGACUUGAAAGGUGCAACUGCAUCACUAAGAGAUGGACCUGCGUUGUAUUAGCUAGUUGGUGAGGUAACGGAUCACCAAGGCGACGAUACAUAGCCGACCUGAGAGGGUGAUCGGCCACACUGGGACUGAGACACGGCCCAGACUCCUACGGGAGGCAGCAGUAGGGAAUCUUCGGCAAUGGACGGAAGUCUGACCGAGCAACGCCGCGUGAGUGAAGAAGGUUUUCGGAUCGUAAAGCUCUGUUGUAAGAGAAGAACGAGUGUGAGAGUGGAAAGUUCACACUGUGACGGUAACUUACCAGAAAGGGACGGCUAACUACGUGC